UACAGAGGUCUCAAGCGUUGUUCGGAUUCAUUGGGCGUAAAGGGUGCGUAGGUGGCCAACUAAGUCAUACGUGAAAUCCCUCGGCUUAACCGGGGAACUGCGUCUGAUACUGGAUGGCUUGAGGUUGGGAGAGGGAUGCGGAAUUCCAGGUGUAGCGGUGAAAUGCGUAGAUAUCUGGAGGAACACCGGUGGCGAAGGCGGCAUCCUGGACCAAUUCUGACACUGAGGAGCGAAAGCCAGGGGAGCAAACGGG
This 253-nucleotide ribosomal RNA is filed under the name uncultured bacterium. RNAcentral's name for it is "partial 16S ribosomal RNA". It matches the Rfam family "Bacterial small subunit ribosomal RNA", at positions 524 to 776 of the family's 1533-position model. The record is from RNAcentral.